GACAACACUCAAGUGUUAUCUUCCAGCCUUCACUGUCAUUGUUAAAGAAUUUACCCCUAUAAAUAUAGAGGUUUAACAACAACACUUGGGGGCCCUCUCUCCAACAUCAGACGUGACGUCUUGUAAACACUUGAACAAAACUUCAAGAUUUUCAAACAGCCAAUUUGCUGCCCUGAUAACCAUUUGACAACUCCUGCGUUUAUUUUUAUUGUUCUGCCACCUUCAUGGUAUGAUUCUUGUUUAAAUAGUCACUCUACUUUCCUUCUAAACAGCUUAAACAUGUACAUAUUAGAUAAGAGAAAUCUCCAAUCUCUUUAAUAUUGUAACUCGUUCUUUAAAAACAACAAAAUGGAGACAUUUUUCGUUCUAACUUGUUAUCAUGUCGGAGCUGGAUAGAGAAAUCUCCAACUUCUAGAACUCUA
RNAcentral lists this long non-coding RNA (422 nucleotides) under Prunus persica (peach). Its description in RNAcentral is "long non-coding RNA (PPER_LNC003002)". The record is from RNAcentral. Lineage: Eukaryota; Viridiplantae; Streptophyta; Magnoliopsida; Rosales; Rosaceae.